ACCUGGCUGGCUCAGUUGGUAGAGCAUGCGACUUGUGAUCUCAGGGUCAUGAGUUCAAACCCCAUGGUGGGUG
Panthera uncia (snow leopard) is the source of this 73-nucleotide non-coding RNA. The record is from the annotation of a RefSeq genome assembly. NCBI's taxonomy places the organism in Eukaryota, Metazoa, Chordata, Mammalia, Carnivora, Felidae.